RNAcentral lists this ribosomal RNA (440 nucleotides) under uncultured bacterium. RNAcentral's name for it is "bacterial SSU rRNA". It matches the Rfam family "Bacterial small subunit ribosomal RNA", at positions 29 to 517 of the family's 1533-position model. The record is from RNAcentral.
AACGAACGCUGGCGGCAUGCCUAACACAUGCAAGUCGAACGAGACCUUCGGGUCUAGUGGCGCACGGGUGCGUAACGCGUGGGAAUCUGCCCUUGGGUUCGGAAUAACAGUUAGAAAUGACUGCUAAUACCGGAUAAUGUCUUCGGACCAAAGAUUUAUCGCCCAGGGAUGAGCCCGCGUAGGAUUAGCUAGUUGGUGAGGUAAAGGCUCACCAAGGCGACGAUCCUUAGCUGGUCUGAGAGGAUGAUCAGCCACACUGGGACUGAGACACGGCCCAGACUCCUACGGGAGGCAGCAGUGGGGAAUAUUGGGCAAUGGGCGAAAGCCUGAUCCAGCAAUGCCGCGUGAGUGAUGAAGGCCUUAGGGUUGUAAAGCUCUUUACCGGGAUGAUAAUGACAGUACCGGAGAAUAAGCCCCGGCUAACUCCGUGCCAGCAGCCG